AUACGGAGGAUCCGAGCGUUAUCCGGAUUUAUUGGGUUUAAAGGGUGCGCGGGCGGCCAUUUAAGUCAGCGGUUAAAUCGUGGGGCUCAACCCCAUUCUGCCGUUGAUACUGGGUGGCUUGAUUGCGGUCGAGGUUGGCGGAAUUCGUUGUGUAGCGGUGAAAUGCAUAGAUAUGACGAAGAACACCGAUUGCGUAGGCAGCUGACCAGAUCGCAAAUGACGCUCAUGCACGAAAGUGCGGGGAUCGAACAGGAUUAGAUACCCUGGUAGUCCGCACAGUAAACGAUGAAUACUUGUUUUCGGCGAUAUAAUGUCGGAGGCAAAGCGAAAGCGAUAAGUAUUCCACCUGGGGAGUACGCCGGCAACGGUGAAACUCAAAGGAAUUGACGGG
Molecule: ribosomal RNA, 391 nt
Filed under: uncultured bacterium
Lineage: Bacteria
Description: partial 16S ribosomal RNA
Rfam family: Bacterial small subunit ribosomal RNA
Source: RNAcentral